AACGAACGCUGGCGGCAUGCCUAACACAUGCAAGUCGAACGAGACCUUCGGGUCUAGUGGCGCACGGGUGCGUAACGCGUGGGAACCUGCCCUUAGGUUCGGAAUACCUCCCCGAAAGGGGUGCUAAUACCGGAUAAUGUCUUCGGACCAAAGAUUUAUCGCCUUUGGAUGGGCCCGCGUUGGAUUAGCUAGUUGGUAGGGUAAAAGCCUACCAAGGCGACGAUCCAUAGCUGGUCUGAGAGGAUGAUCAGCCACACUGGGACUGAGACACGGCCCAGACUCCUACGGGAGGCAGCAGUGGGGAAUAUUGGACAAGGGGCGAAAGCCUGAUCCAGCAAUGCCGCGUGAGUGAUGAAGGCCUUAGGGUUGUAAAGCUCUUUUACCCGGGAUGAUAAUGACAGUACCGGGAGAAUAAGCGCCGGCUAACUCCGUG
RNAcentral lists this ribosomal RNA (433 nucleotides) under uncultured bacterium. RNAcentral's name for it is "partial 16S ribosomal RNA". It matches the Rfam family "Bacterial small subunit ribosomal RNA", at positions 29 to 507 of the family's 1533-position model. The record is from RNAcentral.